ACGGGUGGCUGCAGUGGGGAAUCUUGCACAAUGGGCGAAAGCCUGAUGCAGCGACGCCGCGUGGGGGAUGAAGCUUCUCGGAGUGUAAACCCCUUUCGAUCCGGACGAAUACCUCGCAAGAGGGGUGACGGUACGGAUAUAAGAAGCCCCGGCUAACUACGUGCCAGCAGCCGCGGUAAGACGUAGGGGGCCAGCGUUGUUCGGAAUUACUGGGUGUAAAGGGUCAGUAGGCGGUGUGGCAAGUUGGGAGUGAAAUCUCUGGGCUCAACCCAGAGGCUGCUUCCAAAACUGCUGUGCUUGAGUGUGAGAGAGGCGCGUGGAAUUGCAGGUGUAGCGGUGAAAUGCGUAGAUAUCUGCAGGAACACCCGUGGCGAAAGCGGCGCGCUGGAUCACAACUGACGCUGAAUGACGAAAGCUAGGGGAGCAAACAGGAUUAGAUACCCCGGUAGUCAUCUUUCUAGA
This 462-nucleotide ribosomal RNA is filed under the name uncultured Acidobacteriota bacterium. RNAcentral describes it as "bacterial SSU rRNA". It matches the Rfam family "Bacterial small subunit ribosomal RNA", at positions 341 to 806 of the family's 1533-position model. Lineage: Bacteria; Pseudomonadati; Acidobacteriota. The record is from RNAcentral.